CUGCUGCUCCGCUCGGACUUCCCUGCUCCCUAUAAGGCCCGCCCGAACCGCCAUGGGGUGUUGGUAGGAUCCGUCAUCGAUCUGGCAGAGGGUAGAGAGAGACCGGGGAAGGAAACAGUUGGAUGCCAGAGGGAGAUUGGGAGAGAUGCAGGGUCAACGGCGUCGACUCUUGCCCGUGUAGUCGCUCGGUGUCCGCGGUGUUCCCUGGGUAGUUCGCCGUCGUGUGCUCGGCGGGUGCUCGGAGUUGUCGGAGUUGGGGGCAAGUUGGAGUGCUGCCAAUUUCUUGACGGAGCUGGCGCGGCCGCGGUGCCGCAGACCAUCGUCGACCGGAUCCUCUGCGAUAACGUCGUCGGGGGUUCAAAAAGUAUAGACGAGACCUGGUGGUUGGGCGCGCAGGCUGCGAGUUGGUGCAGCGAUGAGCUGAUCAGCAAGUGCAGCUUCCGCACCGCCCGCCUAACAAGGAAGCCGCGCACUACGGCUUGCAGGCGCACCACGGCCUGCUCAUGUGAUGACGGCCAUGGGGUGGCCCUGGAGGCCACAGCAAGGUGCUUCUCCCCACGAAGGAACUGUACCUGGCGGCGUGCCAGGAACCCUCGCGCUGCCGUCUGA
Molecule: unclassified non-coding RNA, 609 nt
Filed under: Zea mays
Lineage: Eukaryota; Viridiplantae; Streptophyta; Magnoliopsida; Poales; Poaceae
Description: misc RNA Zm00001eb308710
Source: RNAcentral